UAUCACAGCAACAGAAAGGAAACUAGGAAA
This 30-nucleotide non-coding RNA is filed under the name Mus musculus (house mouse). Lineage: Eukaryota; Metazoa; Chordata; Mammalia; Rodentia; Muridae. The record is from RNAcentral. RNAcentral also lists the same sequence under 1 other name.